Molecule: long non-coding RNA, 350 nt
Filed under: Nicotiana tabacum (common tobacco)
Lineage: Eukaryota; Viridiplantae; Streptophyta; Magnoliopsida; Solanales; Solanaceae
Description: long non-coding RNA (NTAB_LNC009904)
Source: RNAcentral
ACCUGUUGAUACAUAUAUCCAUGGACAAUUUGAGGGGUCAUGUUUAAUACUGAGAUGUAUACCUGUUGAUACAUAUAUCCAUGGUUUCUAUAUUUCUCAGAUUUAUUGGGUGUCUUUUCGAAGUUAUCAAAAUGUUAACCCGUCGUCAUUCGAUCAAGGUCGAACUCUUCUUCUUAGACGAAGGACCUUGUCCUUAAGGUUGUUAUUUCGAACUUAUCGAAAUGUUAACCCGUCGUCGUUCAAUCAAGGUCAAACUCUUCUUCUUUGGAGAAGGCCCUUGGCCUUAAAGGGUGUUAUUUCGAACUUAUCGAAAUAUUAACCCGUCGUCGUUCGAUCAAGGUCGAACUCUU